AUUGAACGCUGGCGGCAUGCUUUACACAUGCAAGUCGAACGGUAACAGGCCGCAAGGUGCUGACGAGUGGCGAACGGGUGAGUAAUGCAUCGGAACGUGCCCAGCCGUGGGGGAUAACGCAGCGAAAGCUGUGCUAAUACCGCAUACGAUCUAUGGAUGAAAGCGGGGGACCGUAAGGCCUCGCGCGAUUGGAGCGGCCGAUGUCAGAUUAGCUAGUUGGUGGGGUAAAGGCCCACCAAGGCGACGAUCUGUAGCUGGUCUGAGAGGACGACCAGCCACACUGGGACUGAGAAACGGCCCAGACUCCUACGGGAGGCAGCAGUGGGGAAUUUUGGACAAUGGGCGCAAGCCUGAUCCAGCAAUGCCGCGUGCAGGAAGAAGGCCUUCGGGUUGUAAACUGCUUUUGUACGGAACGAAACGGUCUUGGUUAAUACCCUGGGCUAAUGACGGUACCGUAAGAAUAAGCACCGGCUAACUACGUGCCAGCCGCCGCUGUAA
RNAcentral lists this ribosomal RNA (498 nucleotides) under uncultured bacterium. Its description in RNAcentral is "partial 16S ribosomal RNA". It matches the Rfam family "Bacterial small subunit ribosomal RNA", at positions 30 to 523 of the family's 1533-position model. The record is from RNAcentral.